UACGUAGGGUGCGAGCGUUGUCCGGAAUUAUUGGGCGUAAAGGGCUCGUAGGCGGUUUGUCGCGUCGGGAGUGAAAUCCAUUGGCUUAACUGGUGGCUUGCUUUCGAUACGGGCAGACUGGAGGUAUGCAGGGGAGAGCGGAAUUCCUGGUGUAGCGGUGAAAUGCGUAGAUAUCUGGAGGAACACCGGUGGCGAAGGCGGCAUUCUGGACCAAUAUUGACGCUGAGAAGCGAAAGCCAGGGGAGCAAACGGG
This 253-nucleotide ribosomal RNA is filed under the name uncultured bacterium. Its description in RNAcentral is "partial 16S ribosomal RNA". It matches the Rfam family "Bacterial small subunit ribosomal RNA", at positions 524 to 776 of the family's 1533-position model. The record is from RNAcentral.